RNAcentral lists this long non-coding RNA (5453 nucleotides) under Homo sapiens (human). RNAcentral's name for it is "HSALNT0119546". Lineage: Eukaryota; Metazoa; Chordata; Mammalia; Primates; Hominidae. The record is from RNAcentral.
GCUUGCUGUCAAUAAAUAUGUGGGUAAAUCUCUGUUUGGGGCUCUCAGCUCUGAAGGCUGUGAGACCCGAUUUCCCACUCCACACUCUGUAUUUCUGUGUGAGUGUCUUUAAUUCCUCUGGCGCCGCUGGGUUAGGGUCUCCACGACUGAGCUGAUCUCAGUAUCUACCACAUUCUGCUUUAUUCUCUUCUCUAGGGUAAGAAAAAUCACAAUACAUGGGUAUUCAAUAAAAUUCAAUUAAUUUAAGCCUGACUCUUGAGAAUGUGCAAUUGAAGGUUAUGAAUGUGUCACACCUAAGGUGGUGGUAGAAGUCUCUGGCACAUGGAAAAUGCCUGUUUUAACUUUUAGCUAUUUUUUUCAGGUUUUUGUCAUUAGAAUAUUUCUUCUGUUUCUACUGCAAAUAACUAUCAAAAAGGAAAAGAACAACUAGGAUGGCCUCCCCUGUUUAUCAUUGGCCCUACAAUUUUCUAGGAGUAAUAUCUUUUUGGAAUUAUGUAAUGUCCUCUGCUAAUGACAGUGUAUAGAUGCUAUUACAUUUCCUUGGGGGACAAAGUACUGUUGUCUGGAAGCUUUGAGAUUAAUGUAACACAAAGUAAAUAAGGAAGCGUUUUGCAUAUUCUUAGAUUUUUACAUUUUUAUUUUAAAACAGAGAAUUUCAUAUUGAUUAACACCUACUACUAAACAGAAUGAUGCAUUAAUUAAAUGCCUUGUCCUAACUGUUAUAAGCUCUGUUAGAAAAAUAAACAUCUCACCACAAACUACAGUGUCAGCUCUUUAAUAAAUACAUAAAACAGAAGUUAGUAGUCAAUCAGAGUUAUAUGAACAGGUUCAUAGUAUAUUAUGUGAAAGUAUCAUAUUCUCCAAUAUUCUGUAUCAUUUAAGACAAUUUAAGUUACGUAUAAUUCAAAGCCAGAAAUAAUAAGAAAUAUGUUCAGUGAUAAUUUGCUUCUUUCUUAGAGCUAUUUUAUAUUCAAAUAUUUAAUUUAAAAAUAUAUUCUAUAUUAAAUUUAUUUUUACAAACGCAGUAUUCGUUAGGUGAAACAAAAUAAGUUUUUAUGUUACUGAUAAGUUUAAUACAUUUCUAAUUUUUUUCAGAAGUUCAAGAAACCAUAAUGAAGUAGCUAAUGUAAAAUAGUUUAAAAGCUAUGUUAAAUAUACACAAAAUGAAUUUCUAUAUUAAUAUGUGCAAAUGUAUAUUUUCUUAUAAUUUAGAAUUAAAGUACUUUAUACUCAAUAUUCUUAAUAAAAUUUAUGUACCAUACUUGUCAUUGCGUAGACUUCUUAUCAAAAUUUCACAUUUAUCUGUAGGAAAAUGUAAAGUUGGUAAAAAUUGUUUACACAAAUCACACAUUUUCCAUCCUUGACAAUUGCAGUGUUUUUUUUUUAAAUAUUGCUGUAUUAGACAAUUUUAACUGAAGUAGGUUGUAGAGGCUAGAAGAAACCUGAUUAAUAGAGUUAGCUUACAAAGAUAAAUUUUAUGCAGAAAAGUAUUCCAGGUAGAUAAAAGAGUAGUGUUAUUACUCUCAGGUUUACAUUAACAGCUGCCCAGAUAGCUGAACAAUUAUUUCAUAUAAUUCAAAUAAUUUAAAUAUGCAGUUUUAUAACAGUCGUUACAUAAGCUUGAAGUUAAAGUGAUCAGAGCCAAGGGGGAAAAACCCACAAAUGAUAAAGAAGAAUAAAAAGUAAGAGGACUCUAGAAGAAAGUUGUUUUUCACAGCACUGAUUGUUUUUAUCAUAUUUUUCUCCUGCCAUUGAUACAAGACAUGUAAGAUGCUGCAAAACCUAACUAUGACAGUUCCAUGUAAUAUUUUUCCAGUUAAUUUUGUUUAAAAGUGAGAUGAUAAUAUAAAAGGAUCUCAUAUAAUAGAAUAAAAAUAAUAAAAAUUUGUUAAUGAAACGUAGACAUACCUACCCAUUCUUGUUAGUUAAGUUAGGGUUUGCUGAAAUCAUUCGCACUCACGUAAAGUAUAAAUGGGGACCUGAAAGAGCUUUUGUAAACUCAAGAUAUGCGGGAUCUGAGCUGAUAAUCAGUUAGGCUCCAUGUUGAGUUGUGCGUGACUCAGUUGUCCUUAAAUUUCGCCUUCAUAUUUUGUCAUAAAUGGGCUCUCAAAUCUUUAUAAGAAAACAAAAUUUGCCUAGAUGCAUAAACAUUUAGGUAAAGUUGGAUUAGUGUAAUAUUUAUUCAAGCAUAAUUUUAAACACUGCAUCUGAAGUGCCAACAGUUGCAAGAAAUGUCACAAUUUCAGAGAUGUUAAAUUGAAAAAGUGAUGUCUUGGAAUCAAUGAAAUAUAAAUAUGGAUAUGUAUAAUCAGUUAUACAUAAAAAUUUGCUAUAGAGGAAUUAUAAAAGAAAAGGAAAAUUAUUUGAAAGAAUCUCAAACAGUUGUGAAAAUUUAGAAUUCUUAGAUUUUAAUGGGUCUGUCUUUGUUCAGGGGCAAAGACUCAAAUGAGCUUUAAGAUCAAUUAAAGAUGUCUGGAAAUGAAGAACUUCAUUAUACCAUUAAAUUCAGUUAUUUUUCACUAUUAGGCUUAUUAAGCUUGAAGCUUUAGGAAAUCUCUUGGGAAGAGUGAGUGGAAAAAACAGGAGUAAGAAAAGGAAGAAAAAGCCUUUGAGUCUAAUCUACUCUACCAGGUUCCAGGAAGAAUAUAAUUCUACAGAGAAAAUUCUUCAUAAUCUAUCAUAAUAUAUUUCAGUGUCUGAUGGCUGACUCUUGUCUUGCAUAAAGAUAUCUUCAGUGGAUAUUAAGUAAAUAUUAAAAAUAUAUUUCAGAUUCAUUCUUUGAAGGAUUGCAUCUCAUGCAUCCACAAAUUUUAAUGUUGAGUUUUGGAAAAUUGCCUCCAGAGAUAUCUACUGUGUUUAAUCUUAGAUUUUUUUUUUAUUUUAAUAAACCAAAGAUAAACUGAACAUUUAAGACAUAAUCAGAUUUUUAGUGAAUUUUUAAGUCCUCCAGAAAAGUCUAUGACUUAAUAAAUAUUAGCAAGUUUCCAAAAAUAUAACAAAUGUUUAUAAAUACGUGUGCACUGCAGUGCAAUGGUGUCCCCAGAGAAAUAAAAUGCAUAACAAAGCAAAUGUUAUGUUGUAGUGUAUGUAUGGCACAUUUAUAAAUCAUUACAUACUUUAGGGCACAAAAAUGCUGCAGUACUAAAAGUGUUGUUCAAGUUCUCAAUUCUGUUAACAAUUUAAAAUUUCAUUAAUUGUGUUUAAUAUCAAUGAAUCUCAAAAGGCUCCUGUGGCCAUAUUAGUUGAAAAUAGACUCUAUUUGCAUACAUUAUUUAACCUAAGAGUACCCUGUGUUCCCUUACCAUUUAAUUAAUUCUAACUAGUCAAAUAUUAAUUCUCAUCUCACAAAUCAUUACACAGGAAGAUAUCAAUUAUUCAAGUAAAAUACAAGCCCUACAAUCUUUAAAAAUUAGCUUUUUAAGUAAAAACAAAAAAGAUAAGCACAAGACUUUGCAAGCAUAACCACAAUCAUCGUCUAACACUGAGUUGCCUACAAGGAAGUUUGUCCCUUCCUAUGGUAACAGCCUUGGUCCACUAUAAAGUUAGUGCAAACAAGUGAGGGUAUAAAAAAAAUAUAAACUCUGGAUUUUUAAGGAUUUCAUUUUGUUAUACUCUUUUUGGAUAAUUCAUUCCAUACGGAAAUUUGUUUAUUGUUCAUAAAUAUCAUAAUGUUCAUUUCAAAAAUUGUCAUCAUCUUAAUGGCUAUCUUACACUUUUUUCUUUUGGAGGGUUGUCAGGCAUCCAUCCAUUUUCCUUUUUAAGAAGAACGUUAUGUGUAUUAGGCUACUAAACCCAAUUUUUACAUUAUUUUUAGUGAUCAAAGGUUUCUUAUACAAGUGACUCACAGUACUGAAUUAUGUCAAUCUCUCAUUUGAGGAAGGAAAUGCAGUUCAAGUUAGCAUUGAAAGUGCUUGGCUGUAGAGGACAUCUAACAGAGCUGCUGUGUUUAUUGGCUCCAGAACAACUUAUUAUAGGUUUUUCAGUUCUCUUUAGGGUAGAAUAUGAGAUGGGGUUAGUCUUCAUCAAAAUGCAGUAUCUAGUACUUUAACUCAAGUGCUGGAAGACAGCAAAUCUUGGAAGUUUAUUAUAAAAAAAAAGAUAUUUCGGAUAGAUUCCUUUGUUGUCAUGGGCAAAACUGUAUAUCCACACAGGACUGUUAGACUCCUAGCCAAUAAAAUCAGACUAAGUCCAUAGGGAUAAGGUAAGUGUAAAUAAAUUUCCAUUGGGGAAGACAGGGCUCAUGGCCCGUGUAUCAAGGUCUCAAGCUGAGCACUGGAGAACUCCAGGGAACACUGUUCAUACAGGCUAUGGUGCGAAGGAAUUCCCCUGUAGGUAUGCCAUACUUCAGUCUCUUAAGAAGCUGAUUAGCAUGAAAGACUGGAAGCUGAUUAUGGACAAUUCAGUUUGAAUUAUUCCUUUCUAUUUUGCUUUGAACUUUCCUCAUACACUUAAGACAUGAGUAAAUCACAUUGAAAAACAUUUGCCAAUUGAAUAUUUUAAAGAUUCAAGAGGUAGCAUGAUAUUGUGCAAUGAACACUGGCCUGACAAUGAGAAGAUAAAAACUCCUUUCCAAUGUGGCCACUUUAUCACUUGAGUGUUUUCUGAGAAAUCGUUUAAGUUUUCUGAGGCUCAGUUCCCUAACUCACUAAAAAGGAGAAUUAGCAGCCUGGCAUGGUGGCUCAUGCCUGUAAUCCCAACACUCUGGGAGGCCGAGGAGGGUAGAUCACCUGAGGUCAGGAGUUUGAGAUCAACCUGUCCAACAUGGCAAAACCCCGUCUCUACUAAAAAUACAAAAAUUAGCUGGGCACGGUGGUGGAUGCCUGUAAUCCCAGCUACUCAGGAGGCUGAGGCAGGAGAACUGCUUGAACCCGGGAGGCAGAGGUUGCAGUGAACCCUAAUUGCGCCAUUGCACUUCAGCCUGGGUGACAAGAGUGAAACUCCGUCUCAAAAAAAAAAAAAAAAAAAAAAAAAGCUUAUUUCUAAGAUAUCAUCUAUUCUCCAAUUUUGUACUUUUAUGAAUUCUGGCAAGAAGGGUUGGAGUGAUUCUGGGAAAGAACAUCCUUAGGCUGCCUUGAAGGGAGAAGAUAAUAUAGCUUUUCAUUUAAAAAAUGCUGAUAUCUACUUGCAAUCAAAAUCUAAGAAAACAUUCAAAAUGUGGUACUUUGCUUGAGGCAGAAUUUCUAACUAUCUUGUGAAUUAAUGAUAAGAUAAAUGAAAUGGCCAAACAAUCCCUUCAGUUUACCAGGUAAGAGGAUACAAAACUCCACACUUGUGCACAAUGAAGCUAUUCAGGUUUUGAUGAUACUUUACAGUGUCCCCUAUUAACAUUCAGCUUUUAAAACUAGUAUUCUGAUAAAGUGACAUUGUAUUAUUAGUUUUUUAUGGCAGUAGUAACUUAGCACUUAAUUAAUCCAGUCAUCUGUGACAUACAUAAACUUAUCCUGUAAAAAAGA